AGCAUGCUGGAGGUAUCACAAGAGCGAAUGCUGACGUGAGUAACGACAAAACGGGUGAAAAGCCCGUUCGCCAAAAGACCAAGGGUUCCAGUCCAACGUUAAUCGGGGCUGGGUGAGUCGACCCCUAAGGCGAGGCCGAAAGGCGUAGUCGAUGGGAAACAGGUUAAUAUUCCUGUACUUGGUGUUACUGCGAAGGGGGGACGGAGAAGGCUAUGU
Molecule: ribosomal RNA, 216 nt
Filed under: Burkholderia mallei
Lineage: Bacteria; Pseudomonadati; Pseudomonadota; Betaproteobacteria; Burkholderiales; Burkholderiaceae
Description: partial 23S ribosomal RNA
Rfam family: Bacterial large subunit ribosomal RNA
Source: RNAcentral